Molecule: ribosomal RNA, 491 nt
Filed under: uncultured bacterium
Lineage: Bacteria
Description: partial 16S ribosomal RNA
Rfam family: Bacterial small subunit ribosomal RNA
Source: RNAcentral
AGUGAACGCUGGCGGUAGGCCUAACACAUGCAAGUCGAACGGCAGCACAGUAAGAGCUUGCUCUUACGGGUGGCGAGUGGCGGACGGGUGAGGAAUACAUCGGAAUCUACUUUUUCGUGGGGGAUAACGUAGGGAAACUUACGCUAAUACCGCAUACGACCUACGGGUGAAAGCAGGGGAUCUUCGGACCUUGCGCGAUUGAAUGAGCCGAUGUCGGAUUAGCUAGUUGGCGGGGUAAAGGCCCACCAAGGCGACGAUCCGUAGCUGGUCUGAGAGGAUGAUCAGCCACACUGGACAUGAGACGCGAUCCCGCCUCCUACGGGAGGCACCAGUGGGGAAUGUUGGACAAUGGGCGCAAGCCUGAUCCAGCCAUACCGCGUGGGUGAAGAAGGCCUUCGGGUUGUAAAGCCCUUUUGUUGGGAAAGAAAAGCAGCAGGUUAAUACCCCGCUGUUCUGACGGUACCCAAAGAAUAAGCACCGGCUAAUUUCGU